RNAcentral lists this transfer RNA (66 nucleotides) under Coleoptera sp. 2 KM-2017. RNAcentral describes it as "tRNA-His". The record is from RNAcentral. Lineage: Eukaryota; Metazoa; Arthropoda; Insecta; Coleoptera.
AUUUAAGUAGUUUAAUAUAAAAUUUUAAUUUGUGGGAUUAAAAAUAUACAAAUAGUAUCUUAAAUA